RNA transcript from Malus domestica (apple), 4317 nucleotides. It is a transcript of the gene named TMV resistance protein N, with no coding region annotated. Lineage: Eukaryota; Viridiplantae; Streptophyta; Magnoliopsida; Rosales; Rosaceae. The record is from RefSeq and is a predicted model, not a curated record.
UGACCGUCGGAUAGAAGAAGCAGUUGAAUCACGUCCAUCAAGCUUACGCGGUGAAGUUUCGUUGACGACGACAUACAGAGAGACUUGUAGCAAGUACACAGAGACAGUGUUUCCUUUUUUCUGACGGAUCUUCAGCUCCUCUCAUGACCCCUCUGACUUGAUCUGUGACUUCGUUUUCUACAUACACCCAGUUAGCUUGUUUCAAUGGCAUCGAGCACCCAACGAGCCACUUCAUCUCUUCCUUCAGCUCUUGAAUGGAAAUAUGAUGUCUUUUUGAGUUUUAGGGGUGCAGACACGCGCUUAGGUUUUACCGCCCAUCUACAUGAUAAAUUGAAAGAACAAGGAAUUACAAGAACUUUCUUGGAUGAUGACGAACUUCAAAUAGGAAGCCCAAUUUCUGAUCUCUUCCCGGAAAUUGCAAGGUCGAGGCUUGCCAUCGUUGUCAUCUCUCCAGAUUACGCUUCUUCAAAAUGGUGCCUGAACGAACUCGUAAAGAUUCUUGAAUGCAUGGAAGAGAGACGGGCAGCUAUACCAGUUUUCUACUCAGUGGAACCCUCCGAUGUUGGAGAUCGGUCUGGGAUUUUUGGGAAUGGCUUCACUAAACUCGAACAAGAGUAUAAGGAUGACAAAGAGAUGGUGGAUGGAUGGAAAGCUGCCUUAAAAAUAGUGGCAAAAAUCAAAGGGCCUAUUUCAAAUAACAAGAAAGAACCAGAGCUCAUCAAGGAAAUCGUUGAAAAGGUACGAACUGAAGUAGGUCCUAUAUCAUUGGAGCCUGCAGAAAACCUGGUUGAAAUGGAGUCGAAACUGGAGCAACUUGAUGUGCUUUUAGAACAAGAGUCAAAUGAUGUUCUCUCUAUAGGAAUAUGGGGGAUGAGUGGGAUAGGUAAGACAACCAUUGCCAAAGCAUUUUAUCAGAGGAUUCUUCAUAAAUUUCAAGUCAAAAGCUUUCAUGACAGAGUUAGCGAGGAUUUUAAGGCACACGGUCUGGACGGUAUACAGAGGAAGCUCUCCAAUAGCCUUAUGAAUAGAAAUAUACAAGACUGGAGUCCCAGUGAAGCCGCCAAAAUGAGAUACUUCGUACGUGACAAAAAGGUUCUCAUCAUUCUUGAUGACGUGGACGAUAGUAUUCAGUUAGAAAAGCUAUGUGGAAACCCAGCUUGGUUUGGUCAAGGGAGUAGAGUCAUUAUUACGACUAAGGAUAAACAGGUUCUAAUUUCACAUGGUGUAGAAAGAAGAUUUGAGGUGCCGUUGUUGAGUGAUGUUGGCGCUCUUAAACUGUUUAGCUUGAGAGCCCUUAAAAGGGACAAUCCGCCUAAAAGUCAUAUGGAUCUGUCUAUAAGUUUUGUGAGUUAUGCCAAAGGCCUUCCAUUAGCUCUUGAAGUCUUGGGGUUAUUUUUGAAUGGAAGAGGUCUAGAUGCAUGGAGAGGUCAAUUAAGUAAACUAGGGGAUGAUUUAAUAUUUAAUGAAAAAAUUAUGAAGACACUUAUAAUAAGUUACGAGGGUUUAGAUCCACAAGAGAAAGAUAUUUUCCUUGACAUCGCAUGUUUCUUUAAAGGAGAGUACAAAGAUCGAGUAGUUGAAAUACUAGAUGGUUGUGGUUUUAAUCCAGGUAUUGGCAUAGAUGUCCUUGUGAAGAAGUCUCUGAUAACAAUUUCAGAUAACAUGGUGUUGAUGCAUGAUUUGUUACAAAAAAUGGGUCAAGCAAUUGUUGGUCAACAAUCUAAAGAACCUGGUGAACGGAGCAGAUUAUGGCUUUCUAAGGACAUCUUUCGUGUUUUGAAGGAAAAUACGGGGACAUCGACGGUUGAAGGUAUUGUCCUAGACUUGCUUACCUCAGAAGAGGUCGAAUGCCCUCCUGAAGUUUUUUCUCAGAUGGUUAAUCUUAGAUUGCUCAAAGUCCAUAACGUGCGCCUUCCUGAAGGCCUAAACCGUCUCCCUAAUUCCUUGAGAUUUCUUGAAUGGAGAGGUUAUCCUCUACAAUAUCUCCCAUUAGGAUUCCACCCGGCAGAGCUUGUUGAACUUAUUAUGUGUCAUAGUAGAAUUAAACAGCUCUGGAAUGGAGAAAAGAAAUUUGACAAGUUGAAAAUCAUUAAAGUUAGUCAUUCCAAAAGUUUGACUGGAACCCCUGAUUUUGAAGGGAUUCAGAAUCUUGAGAGAUUAGAUCUUGAAGGAUGCGAAAGUCUAGUUGAGAUUCACUUUUCCAUAAGAACUCUCAAAAAGCUCACUUUCUUGACUCUUAAAGACUGCAAAAGUCUCGAGCUUCUUCCGGAUGAGAUUGAAAUGGAGCACCUUGAAGUUCUAGUUCUUUCUGGCUGCUCAAGCGUUAAAAAGAUACCGAAUUUUGUGGAACCUAUGGAGCAUUUAUGGAAGCUUUCUUUAGAUGGGACCGGUAUUGAAUGUAUACCUUCAUCAAUUGAACAUCUAACCAGCCUUUCUUUGUUGGACUUGAGAGAUUGCAAAAAUCUGAAAUGUCUUCCUCGUACCAUUGGAAAUUUGACGGCUAUUAAAAGUCUUGAUGUUUCUGGAUGCUCAAAUCUUGCCAAAUUGCCAGAAACCCUCGGGAAAUUAGAGUUUGUGGAGAAGAUUAAUUUAAGUGGAACUGCUAUAAAAGAAUUCCCAUCUUCCAUUGCCCUUCUGAAAAACCUUAAAGCAUUGAUUUUUCGUGGAAUGGAAGGGCCAUCACAACAACCAUGGCAUAUGUUGCUCCCUUUUAGAUUAAUGCCAACAGGGAGCCUUCAUCAUUCCAUCAGUUUGUUCUUGCCUCCUCUAUCAGGCCUUUGUUCUUUAAUGGAAUUAGACUUAAGUGGUCACAGUCUUGGUAAAGGAGACAUCCCCAGUGAUAUUGGCUGCUUAUCGUCUUUGGUAUCAUUGAACUUAAGUGGAAACGAUUUUGUUAAUCUUCCUACAAGCAUUAGCCAACUCACUAAGCUAGAGAAUUUAUACUUGAGUCGUUGCUGGAGGCUUCAACACCUUCCAGUUCUUUCGUCAGAUGUGGAUUUACAAGUAACUGCAGAUGGUUGUACUAAACUGAAAAUGCUGGAAUGUCCAUCAAAUUUGGACAGAUUGAAUUCAUCAUGCUUCAAUUUCAUCAAUUGCUUUGGAAUGCUUGAGAAAGAAAGCUACAAUCAUAUAACAUUUACAAUGCUCCAAAGAUAUCUUAAGGGAGUCCCUUAUGCAGGAGAUAGAUAUGAAAUUGUCAUGCCUGGAAAGGAAAUUCCUGGGUGGUUCACUCAUCAAAGGAUGGGACCAGAAGUAACCGUCGACCUAACUCCGCAAUGGCGUGAUAACAAGUGGAUGGGAUAUGCUCUGUGCGCUGUAUUUAAAGUUUGUGGGAGCGGAUGGGAGCUCUCUGGUGUUUUGGAAGUCAAUGGAAAGGAAGAGUACCCUGCGCCUCUACUAUCUUCGGAUGUCCAGCCCGUGUCAGAUCAUAUCUGGCUACUCUAUGUGUCUCGUGGUAUAAGCUUUGGUACAGAGUGGCAAAACAGUUGCAAUCAGUUAAAAUUUAAUUUCAAAAGCUCAGGCCCCUGCUUGGUGAAGAGUUGCGGCACUCGUUUGGUGUACGAGAGUGAUGUGGAAGAGUUGGACGUUGUGUACGAGAGCGCUGUGGAAGAGUUGGAUGAAAUAGCGACCCAAUCCAGUAGCGAUGGUGACGGAGAAGGACCUAGUGGAAGUGGUAGAUUGAAGGGUACAUUGGCCGGCUUCGCCAAUAUGUUUGGAAUCCCUCAUUUCAAGUAGCAAAGCAAUGAAGAUGGAGUGAGGUCGACUAAGCCUAACCACGCAGCAUCAAUUCAAGUCAAACUAAUGGAGAUUUGCUGCUGCGCAUCGGACGAUUGUAUAGCCGUUGACAUUUCAUUAUCCAUUCCUAUGCUAGAAGACUCUCAGAUCUGGAUUUGAUCGGUCUGAGUUUCCAUAAGAAGAAGAGAGAGAAGAGAGCAGAGAUUUCCGUUGGGAUCCAUGGCCACCACGCAUACAAAUGAGUACGAUGUCUACCUCAGUUUCAGUGGCCAAGACACCCGCAUGAGUUUCGCGAGCCAUCUAUAUGCGGCUCUGAGUAGAAACGGAGUCGUCGUAUGUAGACACAAAGAUGUACGUUAUGGGGCAGAACCCAGUAACUCACUAAUCCGCAAGGCAAUCGAAAGGUCAAGAAUUGCUUUGUAUAUCUUGGUUAUGUCCAUCUUCUAAUUGCAGGAAUCAUGUUUUCUCGUCAACUUAUUGUCUCCACUAGAUUGGUGUGAAGAUAAAUCCAAUACUGCAUGAAAUAAGAACUUUGAAUUAGUUUCUUGUGAAAUUUAUAAGAUAGAAUUCAUGCUUUUAAAA